Molecule: non-coding RNA, 310 nt
Organism: Glycine soja
Lineage: Eukaryota; Viridiplantae; Streptophyta; Magnoliopsida; Fabales; Fabaceae
Source: Rfam
AUGUAAUAAUGUAGCCAAGGAUGACUUGCCGGGAAGUUUCUUUUCGCAUUGUGAAUCAUGGUUUUAAAUUGUGAUCGCGGUUUCAUUGUGAUAAAUUAUGGACAAAUGUGGCCAAUGUACUGAUUUUUGAUCAGGGUAACCCCAAAAAUCUUGAUGUUGUGGUUGAAAUCAUGGUUGCGGAUUUUUUUUAAAACCUUGAUUGAAAAGACCUAAUGAUCAUGUUGUUAUGUUCAAAUGCACAUUAUGCUGCCUAAGAAGUCAAGUGUAACUAGUUGUCCGGCAAGUCGUCUCUGGCUACAUAAAGGUCUCC